GAAAUUUAACGGAUUUGGCGGCAAGAUAGCCCCUUAGAGGAACCUGCCCUGUAAACGAUGAACCACGAGGGACUCUACUUUCUUUGGUAGUCAGUUUGUAUAUCGCUGUUGUCAGUUAGAUUCUUGAGAAUAUUUUCGUGUAUGGAAAGUUCAUUGACUUCAAGUAAAGGUGCAGCUUAUAAGGAAGAUAGAGGUGGGUUACAUUUAUGAGAAUAAAACGGAAAGGAUGGAUGAAACAAUCCUUGAAGGUGGAUUUAACUGUAAAACUUAAGUAGGUUUGGUGAGAGCUCUAUCUUGUGUACACAC
RNAcentral lists this ribosomal RNA (306 nucleotides) under Tetraclita serrata. Its description in RNAcentral is "partial 12S ribosomal RNA". Lineage: Eukaryota; Metazoa; Arthropoda; Thecostraca; Balanomorpha; Tetraclitidae. The record is from RNAcentral.